GGUGUCGGGGGUCGAAAUCUCGGUGCCGCAGUUAACACAAUUAAGUAUUCCGCCUGGGGAGUACGGUCGCAAGACUGAAACUCAAAGGAAUUGACGGGGACCCGCACAAGCAGCGGAGCAUGUGGUUUAAUUCAAAGCAACGCGAAGAACCUUACCAAAUCUUGACAUCCUUUUGACCAUCAUUUAAUCAUGAUCUCUCUUCGGAGCAGAAGUGACAGGUGGUGCAUGGUUGUCGUCAGCUCGUGUCGUGAGAUGUUGGGUUAAGUCCCGCAACGAGCGCAACCCUUGUCUUUAGUUGUCAUCAGGUAAUGCUGGACCCUCUAAAGAGACUGCCGGUGAUAAACCGGAGGAAGGUGGGGAUGACGUCAAAUCAUCAUGCCCCUUAUGAUUUGGGCUACACACGUGCUACAAUGGUCGGUACAACAGGCAGCGAAAGGGUAACCUGGAGCGAAUCCUCUAAAGCCGAUCUCAGUUCGGAUUGUGGGCUGCAACUCGCCCACAUGAAGUUGGAGUUGCUAGUAAUCGUGAAUCAGAAUGUCGCGGUGAAUGCAUUCCCGGGUCUUGUACACACCGCCCGUCACACCAUGGAAGUUGGGGGCGCCCGAAGCCAGUGAUCCAACCGCAAGGAGGAAGCUGUCGAAGGUGAAACCAAUGACUAGGGUGAAGUCGUAACAAGGUAACCG
Molecule: ribosomal RNA, 683 nt
Filed under: uncultured bacterium
Lineage: Bacteria
Description: bacterial SSU rRNA
Rfam family: Bacterial small subunit ribosomal RNA
Source: RNAcentral